AGACACUUUCCGACUCUAGCAGUGGAGGAAUCUGGGAUCGCUGGUGUCCUUUUGUGUGGUCCAAGACCCCAGCCCUCCAGAGUCUGGUUUCCAGGCCCACUGGAACUGACAAGAUCUUUUUGCUCAUUGGUAGAAGCCUGUGCAGGACAUGAGCCAGGUGAAUGAUGUUGGGCCCUGUGAGCACUCUGCAGCUGCCCAAAGAGGUGAUGAGGCACACCCAAGGGCACACAGCUGGAAGACAUCCUGGCCCGACAAGCUGCCCAAGUUUGGUGGUGACCAGACUCUACUGGGGGAAAAUGGGUUGGAGUCCCCUGAAAAGGACUGGAGGCCUUCUAAAGAGGAAAUUGCGGACACAAUCAGAGAAAGCCACAGGAAGAAGCCAAAAGUCAGAAGAAACCAGAGAGGAGAGAGAGAUCACCAUGUAACUAAGAUCUGCCAUCUUCAGAAGGUACCAACUCUGGGAGAAAGCAUGGCCUUGUCAUUAUAUCACUUUUGGAUUUCUAGCCUUCAAUACUAUGAGACAACAAAUUCUUGUUUAAGCCAAUCCAUUGUGUUGUUUUGGCAUAGCAGCUCUGGCAAACUGAGAGACCUCAUUUAAUAAAUAAGUAGGAAAAAAUAUAGUAGGAUACCACUACAUUCACAGCAGAUUAGUAAACAUUUUAAAUAUUGACAAUA
Molecule: long non-coding RNA, 675 nt
Organism: Choloepus didactylus (southern two-toed sloth)
Lineage: Eukaryota; Metazoa; Chordata; Mammalia; Pilosa; Megalonychidae
Exons: 3
Source: RefSeq, a predicted model, not a curated record